GCGUAAUUGGUUUAGUGGUAAAAUUCUCCGUUGCCAUCCGAGCAACGUAGGGGAGCCCUGGGCUCGAUUCCAAGAUUAAGCA
Molecule: transfer RNA, 82 nt
Filed under: Metarhizium acridum CQMa 102
Lineage: Eukaryota; Fungi; Ascomycota; Sordariomycetes; Hypocreales; Clavicipitaceae
Description: tRNA-Gly (GCC) (tRNA-Gly-GCC-5-1)
Rfam family: tRNA
About the family: Transfer RNA (tRNA) molecules are approximately 80 nucleotides in length. Their secondary structure includes four short double-helical elements and three loops (D, anti-codon, and T loops). Further hydrogen bonds mediate the characteristic L-shaped molecular structure. tRNAs have two regions of fundamental functional importance: the anti-codon, which is responsible for specific mRNA codon recognition, and the 3' end, to which the tRNAs corresponding amino acid is attached (by aminoacyl-tRNA synthetases). tRNAs cope with the degeneracy of the genetic code in two manners: having more than one tRNA (with a specific anti-codon) for a particular amino acid; and 'wobble' base-pairing, i.e. permitting non-standard base-pairing at the 3rd anti-codon position.
Source: Rfam by way of RNAcentral